UACAGAGGUGGCAAGCGUUGUCCGGAUUUAUUGGGCGUAAAGAGCGUGUAGGCGGCCAGAUAGGUCCGUUGUGAAAACUCGAGGCUCAACCUCGAGACGCCGAUGGAAACCAUUUGGCUAGAGUCCGGAAGAGGAGAGUGGAAUUCCUGGUGUAGCGGUGAAAUGCGCAGAUAUCAGGAAGAACACCCGUGGCUAAGGCGGCUCUCUAGUACGGUACUGACGCUGAGACGCGAAAGCGUGGGGAGCGAACAGG
This 253-nucleotide ribosomal RNA is filed under the name uncultured bacterium. Its description in RNAcentral is "partial 16S ribosomal RNA". It matches the Rfam family "Bacterial small subunit ribosomal RNA", at positions 524 to 776 of the family's 1533-position model. The record is from RNAcentral.